UGCUGGCAGUGCGUCUUAAGCAUGCAAGUCAAACGGGAUGUAGCAAUACAUUCAGUGGCGAACGGGUGAGUAAACGCGUGGAUGAUCUACCUACGAGAUGGGGAUAACUAUUAGAAAUAGUAGCUAAUACCGAAUAAAGUCAAUUAAUUUGUUAAUUGAUGAAAGGAAGCCUUUAAAGCUUCGCUUGUAGAUGAGUCUGCGUCUUAUUAGCUAGUUGGUAGGGUAAAUGCCUACCAAGGCGAUGAUAAGUAACCGGCCUGAGAGGGUGAACGUCAC
This 276-nucleotide ribosomal RNA is filed under the name uncultured Borrelia sp. Its description in RNAcentral is "partial 16S ribosomal RNA". It matches the Rfam family "Bacterial small subunit ribosomal RNA", at positions 35 to 311 of the family's 1533-position model. Lineage: Bacteria; Pseudomonadati; Spirochaetota; Spirochaetia; Spirochaetales; Borreliaceae. The record is from RNAcentral.